UACGGAGGAUGCAAGCGUUAUCCGGAAUGAUUGGGCGUAAAGCGUCCGCAGGUGGUUGUGUGUGUCUAUUGUCAAAGCAUCAUGCUUAACAUGAUAAAGGCAGUAGAAACUACACGACUAGAGUGCGUUCGGGGCAGAGGGAAUUCCUGGUGUAGCGGUGAAAUGCGUAGAGAUCAGGAAGAACACCGGUGGCGAAAGCGCUCUGCUAGGCCGCAACUGACACUGAGGGACGAAAGCGUGGGGAGCAAACAGG
Molecule: ribosomal RNA, 253 nt
Filed under: uncultured bacterium
Lineage: Bacteria
Description: partial 16S ribosomal RNA
Rfam family: Bacterial small subunit ribosomal RNA
Source: RNAcentral